Macaca mulatta (Rhesus monkey) is the source of this 2397-nucleotide non-coding RNA. The record is from RefSeq and is a predicted model, not a curated record. Lineage: Eukaryota; Metazoa; Chordata; Mammalia; Primates; Cercopithecidae.
AUGGUGAGGAGGUGGGGCUCAUUGGGCAAAUGGAGAUGACGACAUUCCCGGCAGAGAGAAAAGGACAAAUACAAAGUUCCCAGGUUUUGAUCCGGUACGCUGCUCUCAGGCAACCAAAAAGUAGAGCGUUUUGGUGUUUGUGCACAGAAGAGGCUCAAGAUAAAACGAGUCUAGGUACUGAUGAGACCUCUUUAUUAUUACACUGGCAACUGACUGCACUGCGGAUAUGUUUGGAAUAAGGGAUAAAUGGAUCAACUGGGCAGAGAGUUGGAAGAAGGUGUUUUAGCUCUGCUUCUCAAUCUCCCAGUGUGAUCGCCGGGACACUUCACCGUAAGUUGCAUUUAUUAUAGGGCAGUUUUGUCACUUAAAAAAAUAUUUUUAAUUGGAAACAGCAAGCUGGUUAUAUAAUUGUAAUUGCAGGAUUAUAAUGAAAAUAUCAGGCCUGCAGGUUUUACAUAAUCACAUGCAAAGUCAUGUGCGAGAGUGGAAAAAGGGAAGAACAGAGAUAUGUCUGAUUAUUUACUCUCUGUGGGGUGUACACAGAUUAUUUCUGGUGCAAUUUAAUCUGGAAGAUUAUAUAGCUGAGAAUAAGAGAUCAAAUAGAUAUCCUUGAGACACCAGAAUCUCAUGAGUCAGUUGCAAACAUCAGGCAUGUAGCCUGCACUUGAUACUGGAUAACUUGCUCAUGUUUUAUUCCUGAGUUUCCUUAAGCAAUGUCUGUUCGAAAAGCUUGAAGUUAGUAUUCGUUUAAACAGGGAAGCACUGGAACUAGCUGGCAUUCUGUAAAUGAAAUCAAUGUAACGGGAACUUUGAAUCGUUUUUUCCUUGAUUAUUUUGCUAGGUUGUCACUAUAAAUGGCCAAAUCCUAAAUCAACUCUUUCACCCUUCCCAAGGAGGUCAUCAACACUAGCAUUUUACAGUGUUUAAUGAAUUAUUUUCCAAACAUACAUUAAGUUUGCUGUAAACAAGGGUAUUUAUAAGAAUAUCAUGACUAUUUGACAUUUAGGUAAGAGUUAUGUAGUACUCUAGAAAAAAGAGAAAGCAAUUUUAGUACUAUCAGAAUCUGGAGCAGAACUUAGUCUUGGGUGGAGCUUACAUAUGAAAUUGAAAUUUAAAAAGAAAUCCAAGUUACUCUCCAAGUUUUGGACAGGGUAUUUUUAUUCUUCAGAAUAUCGAUCCUGAAAUUAGAGUGAAUACAUCAAAAGUGCGUGUUUAAUUUCUUCAGUGGAAACAUAAACUCAUCCCUUGGGGAAAAAUAUUACUAAUUGUACAUUGAAUAGUUUUUGCCCAUAAAUAGCAACAUGUAUAAAUGCAAAUGCAUGAAGUCAAAAUUAAUUUUAAAUACUUCCUCAGUAAAUGUAUAGGUCUUUAUUAAUAAUCUAAAAGAAGGAAAAAAGGCAUUACUGAGAAAAUCUCCAAUUUUUUUUAAAGUUUAUUAAUUGUGAGCAUUGAGUUACUUUCUUGUAUGACGUGAUUGACCCAUAUGUGAAUUUUUUCUAAGAAUAAGGAAAUGGGUGAAUCAAAAUUGGGACUAGAAGGUUGGAUGAUUUAAAUGCUAUGCUUAUUUAAAUGUUCUAUUCUCUCAAAAUAGUACAUCUUUGGGCUUGCUUGCACAAUAGUGAAACAACCUACUUGAGGUAACUCACAAUAAUCCCAAUACUUUGGGAGGCCGAGGUGAGAAGAUGACUGGAUCCCAGGAGUUUGAGACCAGCCUGGGCAAUAUAGCAAGACCCCAUUUCUCCCCCCACCCCCCCCAAAAAAUCAUUGGACUAAGGUGGAAGGAGACAGAGCAGCUGUAAAGUUGCUAGUAUGAGGGACAAGAAUUAAUGUAAUGGUGGGCAGCAGGUGAUAAUUCUGUGGCAAAGCAACAAAAGCAGGGAUUACAAUUUAUUUCUGUUUAUAACCAUCAACGCCUAGUUUGGCUUUCAUUGUUUGCUGAUUUUGUUGCCUGGGCAGCAUGAAUCUCUCUGAUUCCCUUUUAGUGGUUCUUCAUGAAGCCUACAUGUGAGAAAUGAAAACUGAAAAUACAUUUUUUAAAAGGGAAAAUAAAACUGGUAUAAAAUCAAAUUACUCUGGCUCAUGUAUAAUAAAAUACAAUUACAUUAAUCCUUUUCUAAGUAUUUCAUUCUAGGGUUUGUGGAUUUUUUUUUGUAAUUAAUGAAUUUACUAAGCACUUUCUAUACUUAAGGGAAUGACUUUGUCUCUAUUUUUUAGGCAAAUUAUUUUGUGUGGGUGACAAAAUGUAUGUUCCCUUGCAUGUAAUAUUUAAGUGUGUAUUAAAUGUCUAAUAUGACUCAGGUCACAAAAUUUCAGACACAACGACAACAUGAACUGUCAGCUCAGGAAAGUUUGUUUAUUUGUGUUUGAGAUGGAGUCUCACUCUGUCGCCCAGGGUGG